Molecule: long non-coding RNA, 430 nt
Filed under: Rhinopithecus bieti (black snub-nosed monkey)
Lineage: Eukaryota; Metazoa; Chordata; Mammalia; Primates; Cercopithecidae
Description: lncRNA (ENSRBIG00000045784.1)
Source: RNAcentral
CACAGCUGUCCUGACCACCUUCCCAGCUUUCACUGAAAAAGCUCUUUUUCUCCUUGGGCUGGGUCCUCUCUGCUGCUACCUCCACCAUUCUGAUCUUCAUUCCCAAGCCCUUCAGCCAGACAUCAGAAUUUCUCCUUGCACAGUCAUAUUACAACUCUUGGAGAAUUAAGACAUUUGGGAAGAGUUCCAUAGCUUCUCCUGACCUUCCAAGGAGGCACCAAGGUAGAAAGAGCACAAACUUUGGACACAAAAUAAUCUGGAUUUAAGUCCUAUCUCUGCUGCUUUCAGGCAAGAUCGUUUCUUCCUCUGAGCCUUAGUUUGCUUACUCAUAAAAUGAGCAUAAUAGCUCUCCUUUUUGUCUGGGACUUUUAGUUGCAAGUGACAUAAACCCAAUUCAAAUGGGCUUAAUCCAAAAACAAAGUGGGAAAUC